Molecule: ribosomal RNA, 499 nt
Filed under: uncultured bacterium
Lineage: Bacteria
Description: partial 16S ribosomal RNA
Rfam family: Bacterial small subunit ribosomal RNA
Source: RNAcentral
GACGAACGCUGGCGGCGUGCUUAACACAUGCAAGUCGAACGGGCCCGCCCCUGUUUUUGGGGGUGGGUUGAGUGGCGAACGGGUGAGUAUCACGUGAGUAACCUGCCCCCUGCUCCUGGAUAACUGCUUGAAAGGGCGGCUAAUACGGGGUGUGCCGGCUGGUCCGCAUGGGCCUGGUCGGGAUAGUUUCAUCUUCGGGUGGUUCGGUGGGGGAUGGGCUCGCGGCCUAUCAGCUUGUUGGGGGGGUGAUGGCCCACCAAGGCGGUGACGGGUAGCCGGCCUGGGAGGGUGGGCGGCCACUCUGGGACUGAGCCACGGCCCAGACUCCUGCGGGAGGCAGCAGUGGGGGGUAUUGCACAAUGGGCGGACGCCUGAUGCAGCGCCGUCGCGUGAGGGAUGGAGGCCUUCGGGUUGUGAACCUCUUUCUCCGGUGGUGAAGGCCCUGUCCGUUGCGGCGGGGUUGACGGUAGCCGGGUAUGAAGCGCCGGCUAACUACGUG